AAUAUAUAAUUUCUCUUUGGAUCGAGGAUUUCCAUGGCGAUUACUCCCUGAGCAAAGGAGUACUUGCCUCCUAGCAUGUCGAAGCCUCAGCGCCUCUGAUGCUUCCACACUAAUCUCGCGUGCCGGGAGCAAAGGAGAUGCCUUCCCCUCCCGAUCUACGUCCUCGCCCAUGUUGUUGUUGUGCCCGCUCCCCCUUCCCGUCGUCUCGGUGCAUCGAGAUUCAACCUUGGACGUCCUCUUCCUUCGCCGUUGGAAACUUUGUGCAGGGCGGAAGGGGAUCAAGGGAAUGGUAAGGUCGCCGAGCCCUUGGCCCUUGAAUCCGUUGCUGGAAGGUCUUUCAAUAACUGCCAGGUGUAGAAGAUACGAUGGUGGUGGUAAUGUAGAAGCGCACCCACUCUCUUCCUCCUAGGGCUUCACCUGCUUUACAACCAAGUUUUUCUCAUCAGAGUGCCGCAAAAGUAGAGUUGUCACACAAGACUAAUCAAUGGCAGAAAGGAAAACUACUUGGAAGCGGAACAUUUGACAAUGUUUAUGAAGCUACUAACAGACACACUGGUGCUUUAUGUGCAAUGAAAGAAGUUAAUAUAAUUCCUGAUGAUCCCAAAUUAGCUGAAUGCUUGAAGCAGUUAGAGCAGGAGAUAAAGUUUCUUAGUCAAUUUAAGCACUCUAAUAUUGUUCAAUACUAUGGGAUGGAAACAGUGAGCUUUGUUUGUGGUUAUCCUGAAUCUUUCAUCUUUGCCCUAUCACAUCUUUAUUUAGGAUUUCAGUUUUGAAUAUGCAGAUUGAGGAUCACCUGUACAUUUGUUUAGAGCAUGUCCACCCUGGAUCAAUUAAUAAAUAUGUUCGCCAGUAUUGUAGAGCUAUGACAGAAUCAGUGGUGCACAAUUUUACCCAUAAUAUAUUGGGCUGAUUUACUUGCAUAGUAAAAACAUCAUGCACAGCUCAGUGUUUGAAUUAGCAUGUAACAUAGAAUGAGGCCAGGGAAAAGGAUAUACAAAGUUGUGCGGUUCAGUUUUACUUUAUUUGUUGUUUGAUUGGGUUUAUGUGGUAAAUGGAAAUAAUAAAUAACAUAUUACUAUAGGAGUUUUGUUGAUUCUUUAAAAAUAUGAACUCAAAGUUUCCCCUGUUUCAAUUAUGUUUCAUAUACUGUUAUUUACUUGAGUUAUGCUUGUGUUGUAGAGUGGUAGAUCGUUGUAUCUCAGAGAAGGAAAAUGUUUGUUUAACAAACUCUAUAUCUGAAUGUAUAAAUUUGGAUGUUUCUCAUAGUGAUUUAAUAAAUGCAAUUGUGCUUCAAUCCUAAUCUCAUGGGCAAUUUGAGUAGAAUUUUCAUUUCCAUUUCCAUAAUUUUAGUAAUCAUGUUCUUCUCUAUUUCGUUUCUUG
This is an RNA transcript of Zingiber officinale, 1380 nucleotides long. It is a transcript of the gene named mitogen-activated protein kinase kinase kinase 5-like, with no coding region annotated. Lineage: Eukaryota; Viridiplantae; Streptophyta; Magnoliopsida; Zingiberales; Zingiberaceae. The transcript is spliced from 4 exons. The record is from RefSeq and is a predicted model, not a curated record.